AUCACUUCCAGGAAACGUUCCGUAUAGAAAUGAAGUCGUUGUGCAAACGUAAGCUAGGAGCGUCUCAAGAACGGGACGUUUCCUUAAAAGAUGAUGACACUUCCCUCAAGUGUCUCGUGAACUUUCUGAGAUUUCAUUGCUGCUAUAAAAAAAAGAACAAAGAGGUCACAGAAAAACUUGCGAAUAUACUGUAUUCGACCAGGAACACAGGCUACAAUACGUAAGCCCUACCAUGGCGACUUGUUCCAGCCCAACGAAAUCCAUCGCCGACGCAAUGCUUUCAGUGGUAGUCAUCAUGGAUACUAAAGCGAAGCAGGAAACGACAGAUGUCGUAAGAAAUAAAUACCCUUAAUACUGCUAUAUACACACAUAGAUGAAAAAGUGCAGACGUAGAAGAGCUCCCUUAGUCGUUGGGAUAGUUCAGCUGGAUGGGUGCUGGACAAACUGCCUCUAGGAAGGUUUUAUCAGGCUGAUGGAGAGGUACCGAAGUAAAAUCACGAUUUAGCAAGCUAACUUAGCAACUGCCCAGCGUAGCUGUUUGUUUGCUGGGGUUGGUUGAGCUCUUAAGCGCUACACACCGCUUACUUCGAAUGCAAGAUCCUGCGUAUCAUCCGUCGUUUAACUUGCCAGAGAUGGCGUAAAGUUCAUUCUCGCUUCCGACUAAAUAGGCGAUAGCGUCGGCGGUGACGGCAACAGAUGACGGACCCUUAACAGUAAAAGUGGUGUUGUGUGGAGUAUUUACGAGGUAAAAGGGCAGGCAAUAACGGGACAGAAGCGGACUCGGGGUUGGACAAGGUGGUGCUUUCGUGUCCUACAUCGUAAGGUGGCGGAUUUUGCUCGAGGCGAACAUGACAUAUCCUUCUGUUGCAUAAUCAUAAGACGAUGGAAAGUUGUAAAAUUACCAAUAAGAAGGCGGGAUGAAAGGGAAUCGAGAUAACUACAGAAAACGUUUAACACUACCUGUCAACCGAUUUCGCUUAGUAUCACAAAUUUAGUAUUGAUCAUAUCUCCUUGAUUGCUGGAGAGCGUAAAUAGACUAUUCCGCACCGAAAGAAUCAGCGUUGAAUAUGUUGGCAGGAUAGUUUUGAAUCCUGUUAUCACGAUAGCUACGAUUUACCCAUUUUUUCUGUCCAUAGCGAUAUUUCAGGUGUCUAGACUGUGUCGUAUCUUUUCAGGAUGUAGCCUUAUAUUAGACUGCGUUCGCAAAGCUAUACAGAUCGGUUUCUGAUCCUCCGGUUAACUAGGUAAGCAGCUGUUCGACCAGGUGCGUUGUGGUUCGUUUGUUAUGGUCGAAGAGGCCAGGCUAGUGAAGGAGUGGUUUUCCAAUGGCGGAAGUCGUCUGUCUGCCUUCAGUUCGGGCUGCGGUACAAGGAGCUACAGCUAUACAGGCAAAAUAGAAAGUGUGUAAAGUGCUGCGUACUCUGUUGAUUUAGCGAGC
Molecule: long non-coding RNA, 1438 nt
Organism: Varroa destructor (honeybee mite)
Lineage: Eukaryota; Metazoa; Arthropoda; Arachnida; Mesostigmata; Varroidae
Source: RefSeq, a predicted model, not a curated record